Molecule: ribosomal RNA, 346 nt
Filed under: uncultured bacterium
Lineage: Bacteria
Description: bacterial SSU rRNA
Rfam family: Bacterial small subunit ribosomal RNA
Source: RNAcentral
GCGGGGGCAACCCUGGCGGCGAGCGGCGGACGGGUGAGUAAUACAUCGGAACGUGUCCUUUCGUGGGGGAUAACCAGUCGAAAGACUGGCUAAUACCGCAUGAGAUCUCACGAUGAAAGCGGGGGACCGCAAGGCCUCGCGCGAUUGGAGCGGCCGAUGUCGGAUUAGCUAGUUGGCGGGGUAAAAGCCCACCAAGGCGACGAUCCGUAGCUGGUUUGAGAGAACGACCAGCCACACUGGGACUGAGACACGGCCCAGACUCCUACGGGAGGCAGCAGUGGGGAAUUUUGGACAAUGGGCGCAAGCCUGAUCCAGCCAUGCCGCGUGUGUGAAGAAGGCCUUCGGG